Long non-coding RNA from Sinocyclocheilus grahami, 526 nucleotides. RefSeq lists it as uncharacterized. NCBI's taxonomy places the organism in Eukaryota, Metazoa, Chordata, Actinopteri, Cypriniformes, Cyprinidae. The transcript is spliced from 4 exons. The record is from RefSeq and is a predicted model, not a curated record.
ACACCUGAUUUCAGUUGGAAGACCAGUUUGUGGUCGAGGGUCUAGCGAUUGCUGAAGAGUGGGACAGUGUGUUUCCUGAUCAGGAGUACAUCUUUGGGGAUUUCACAGAGCGACUGUGGGCAUAUCUGACCAUCCAGCAGCUCUUGGAUAAAAGAGAGAAAUGCUCCCCAGAGGACGAGGAGAACGUCACAGCUGAAGCUCUAGACCUUUCUCUAAGGUAUAACUUUGUCACACCUCUCACCUCCAUGGUGGUCACCAAACCAGAGACUGAAGAUGAAACGCUCAUUGCUGACAAGCUGACUGAAGAGCACCGAGAAGACACAACAGAACUUGAUAUAAGUGCCUUCUACGCUCCACCUCAAUUGACUAGGAGUGCUCACCCAAUCCAAAGACUACAAUUCAAGAUAUCACCUUCAUAUUUUGGUGAGAAGCGAUGUCAUUUUUUGUACAUUUUAAAGAAAAAAUUUACAGUAAAGAAAGAUAUCUUACAUGUUACUCAUGAGUUUGUCUCUUGCAGUUGAUGGAG